This 1005-nucleotide long non-coding RNA is filed under the name Bos indicus x Bos taurus (hybrid cattle). RNAcentral's name for it is "lncRNA (ENSBIXG00005026311.1)". The record is from RNAcentral. Lineage: Eukaryota; Metazoa; Chordata; Mammalia; Artiodactyla; Bovidae.
GCAGUCUUUCUGUUUUUUAUCCAGCCAUCUGCCCAUCUGUCAUCUCUCCCUGUUUCAGCAAGCAUAAAGCAUUUAUUAAGCACUUAGGUUAUCAGUGGGUGUUUGGGGCUGUAUCGUGUCCUCCACACAACUCACAGGUGGACGUCUUAACCCUUGUAGCUCAGAUGGGACUGUCUUUGGAGACAGGGCCUUUAAAGAGGUAAUUAAGGCAAAGUGGGGUCAUAUGGGUGGCCUUUAAUCCAACCCUUAUAAGAAGAGGAGAUCAGGACAGAGGCAGGCGAGGAGGGAGAUCCAUGCAAGAAGACAGUCAGCUGCUAGCCAAUAAGAGAGACCUCAGAUUGAGAUCAAGCCAAAUCAAACACCUUAAUCUUGGACUUCCAGACUCCAGAACUGUGUAAAAAUAUACUUCUGUUGGUUAAGCAGCCCCGUCUGUGGUAUUUUGUUCGGGCAGUGCUCGCUGACUAUUACUGUGUCUCUUCCAGGUAGUGGAGACCAGUGAUGCACAGACUCCUCAAGCUGCUCAGAGCCUAGCAGGGGAUGUGGAACCCCAAAGGAGCACAGGCGGAAGGAGGCCCUGAAGCUGAUCACCACCAUCUGCUACUUCCUCCUCCUCGUUCUCAGGGUGGACCCUCUGCUGGGUCAGCAUAUGCUGCCAAGGAGUCCACUGGGCCAUGUCAGGAACCAGGACUGGAUGCAUCUGGGAUGAAGCAGCUCCUCGGCUGGCAUGCUCUGGGCUGAGCCCUGUGCUUUUUUUUUCUUUUUUCCUCAUUCUGAAAAAAUACUGGGAGAGCAGGAGGCUGUCAGCUGUGUUUCCUGCUUCACAAGGAGAGCUUUGUUUGAAGAAGUUUCAGAGUGCAAAAGUCAGAUUGAAUACAAUGGAGACACAAAAUGAAAUUGCUCUUUACAAGAAAUACAGGUGCAAUAAAAUGGAGAUACACUUGUUUUAACGCUGCACUUGUCCUGAGGAUUUCUAAAGGCUACUGAUAGGUUAAGCCAAAGUGCAGU